Molecule: ribosomal RNA, 513 nt
Filed under: uncultured bacterium
Lineage: Bacteria
Description: bacterial SSU rRNA
Rfam family: Bacterial small subunit ribosomal RNA
Source: RNAcentral
GACGAACGCUGGCGGCGUGCCUAAUACAUGCAAGUCGAGCGGACCAAAGGGAGCUUGCUCCUGGAGGUCAGCGGCGAACGGGUGAGUAACACGUGGGCAACCUGCCUGUAAGACUGGGAUAACAUCGAGAAAUCGGUGCUAAUACCGGAUAAAUAAAAAGAACUGCAUGGUUCUUUUUUGAAAGAUGGUUUCGGCUAUCACUUACAGAUGGGCCCGCGGCGCAUUAGCUAGUUGGUGAGGUAACGGCUCACCAAGGCAACGAUGCGUAGCCGACCUGAGAGGGUGAUCGGCCACACUGGGACUGAGACACGGCCCAGACUCCUACGGGAGGCAGCAGUAGGGAAUCUUCCGCAAUGGACGAAAGUCUGACGGAGCAACGCCGCGUGAGUGAUGAAGGUUUUCGGAUCGUAAAACUCUGUUGUUAGGGAAGAACAAGUGCCGUUCGAAAGGGCGGCACCUUGACGGUACCUAACGAGAAAGCCACGGCUAACUACGUGCCAGCAGCCGCGGUAA